RNAcentral lists this transfer RNA (77 nucleotides) under Christensenellaceae bacterium. RNAcentral's name for it is "tRNA-Arg". It matches the Rfam family "tRNA". Rfam says of the family: Transfer RNA (tRNA) molecules are approximately 80 nucleotides in length. Their secondary structure includes four short double-helical elements and three loops (D, anti-codon, and T loops). The record is from RNAcentral. Lineage: Bacteria; Bacillati; Bacillota; Clostridia; Christensenellales; Christensenellaceae.
GCACCCGUAGCGAAAUUGGAUAUCGCACUGCCCUCCGACGGCUGGGACUGCUGGUUCGAAUCCAGUCGGGUGUACCA